RNAcentral lists this long non-coding RNA (974 nucleotides) under Mus spicilegus (steppe mouse). RNAcentral describes it as "lncRNA (ENSMSIG00000021086.1)". Lineage: Eukaryota; Metazoa; Chordata; Mammalia; Rodentia; Muridae. The record is from RNAcentral.
CCAAAUGUGAGUUCCCUCUCAGUAUUACCCAUUGGCAUAAGCUGUCAAAAUGGGGUCACAGCCUGGGCUGUUCAUAUUCUACUGCUCAGGUAGGUACAGCGUUACAACAGAUCCACUUCUGAUGUUACACACUGCCCACAAAGCUCUGUACACCAUUUAUCCUCAUAGCUGUCAAUGAGCAAUGCUGACCAACUGGCACAACCCACCUAAAACUCUCCUUGGAUUCAUGAGCAGCGUCGAUCACUGUGCUUCAUACAUUGUGUCCAUGAUGCUCUUGUUUUACGAAAGUAAUCCAGGCAAUCCCAGGCCUUCUGGAAUUUACUCUUAUAUCACUUUUCCCUCCCGCUUGCAUGUCCUCUCCCUAGCUCCUUAUAGCAAGCUAUUUGAUAGGCACUAUUAUUUCUGUCUUCAAAAGAAACACAGGAUGUUCCAGAAGAAUUCAAGAGUUGACCGGGUGACACAGUAGGAGAAGAGGCAGUUCCAUGUGCAGGCCAGGCCAAGGAUGUCAGAAACCAGCUGGAAGGAAAGGUCAGAGAGAAGAGUCCUCAGGAGCUGACUGGGCUCUCGUUCCUCCCCUGUGGCAGCAAUGGGCCAUUUCCAUCAGAGGCGGUGCCAUGCUGACCCAAAUGCCUGAGUGCUACUCACCUCCAGAGAGUGAGGAGUCUGAAAAGUUCUCUUAUUGUUUGUUUGCUUGCUUGCUUGCUUGCUUGCUUGAGCCCCAGAGAUUCAGCCCAGGACCCAGGACCUCUUCAAUACUCGGCAGGCAGUGUGCAGCUGAGCUACUCCCGUGGCCAGGAACAAGUUUGGUGGCAGUGACGGAAGAAGAGACCGUUGCGGCUGAAGCUGCACUGCAUGAGGCGAAGGAAGAAGGAGUCUCCUAACUGGUGCCACAUACAUCAGGUCCAACCAUUUCUUCACGUUUAGUCACACCAACCAAAAUGUACUCCCAACUAGCAGCCACGUGCAGAUAAGAC